Molecule: long non-coding RNA, 401 nt
Filed under: Bos taurus (domestic cattle)
Lineage: Eukaryota; Metazoa; Chordata; Mammalia; Artiodactyla; Bovidae
Description: long non-coding RNA NONBTAT002935
Source: RNAcentral
CUGUUAUAUGCUGAACAAAAGCUCAGCAUAUAAAGAACUACUCUCCCGAAUGUGCUCAUAUUUCUGAUGGUGACCUGCUACGUUAGACUCACUCACGUGUGCACACACACACACAGAAAGGAGACUGUCAUCUAAAAUAAAUAAUUUAAACCAAGAAACACUCUGACCUUACUUAUCUGCAUAGUAACUGUUCUGAACUCAGCCUCAAUGACAAUCCCACUUUUACAAAAUGGAAGAUGAAGAUAAUGUUUAUAAACUGCUUACGUUGUUUUUAAUCUACUUCUUAAAAUAGACAUUUUCCCUUAAUACAAUGACUAGGAGCAGUUGCCAACUUUGGCUUUUUUUCUGUUCUGGUUUUUCCAGAAAGAUGUUUUUUUACAUUGACUUUUGCCCAGCUUGAG